AAUUAAGUUUCACAACGAAUACACCUCUUUUUUCAUGAAGACAUUCUAAUGCAACAUUUGGUUUUCAAAAUAAGCAAACCACACAGGGUGGUCAUUGCUCAGGUUUCAUGGGAACUCCUCAGGACCUAAAGGUCUACCUGGACGAUACAGAAUAAUCUCCCCAUCUCAGGAUCCUUAAGUUCCAUCUCAUCUGAAAAGGCCCUUGUGCCACGUAAGGUGGGGGUCACAAAUUCCGGAGAUUAGGACCUGGACGUCUGGCCUAUGGUGAAGGGAAGAAACAGAAAGUGGUAACUGGGGAGCUGGAUGUGAUGAGAGAAUGAAAUACUGGAUGCCUAUCCAGACAUAGAGAAGAGUGUGACAGUUCUUCGCCGCCCAGAAGCGACGAUCACGCCGUGUCAUAGGUCCUGUGAUGGAGCGAGCACCACUGACCGCCAUUUAUGGAGUUCUGAGGCUACCUUGCCCGAAUGUGGGUCUUCUUUUUCUCGGGGAGUACACGCUGAACUGGAAGGCACGUGAGAAAGUCUGAGCUGAGAUUUUGGUGUCUAGAUAAUACUCGUGGAAUGAGACUUAAAGUCUGGAGCGUGCGACUGGGAGGGACCCUCGUAUACUACCCCAGCCUUGGUCUAGAACACCGAAAAUACUGCUGUGAAAGUCAGAAUACACCAGAAGUAAACCAGCCCGUUCACAAACUGCAGGUCAGAAUCAAAUUCUCCGGACGAUCCAAUCAUUUAAAACGAGCCCAGGUAGUUAGUAGCCCUCAAAACACACCAGAAGUAUGGGGCACCUGGGCGUCUCAGUCGGUUGAG
Leopardus geoffroyi (Geoffroy's cat) is the source of this 806-nucleotide long non-coding RNA. RefSeq lists it as uncharacterized. Lineage: Eukaryota; Metazoa; Chordata; Mammalia; Carnivora; Felidae. The record is from RefSeq and is a predicted model, not a curated record. The transcript is spliced from 3 exons.